GGAAUAAAAGUCGUAACAAGGUUUCCGUAGGUUAACCUGCGGAAGGAUCAUUAUUGUAUAACCGAGGUGCGAGGGCUGUCGCUGACCCGAAAGGUCGUGCACGCCCGAGUGCCCUCACACACAUCCAUCUCACCCCUAUGUGCACCACCGCGUGGGUCCCCCUUUGGCUUGUUCGGAGGGGGGCUUACGUUUUCACACAAACUUUGUAUGCAGUGUAGAAUGUAUUUUUUGUUUUUGCGAUCACGCAAUCAAUACAACUUUCAACAACGGAUCUCUUGGCUCUC
This 284-nucleotide unclassified non-coding RNA is filed under the name plant metagenome. RNAcentral describes it as "partial contains small subunit ribosomal RNA, internal transcribed spacer 1, and 5.8S ribosomal RNA". The stretch from base 1 to 53 matches the Rfam family "Eukaryotic small subunit ribosomal RNA", at positions 1779 to 1831 of the family's 1831-position model. The record is from RNAcentral.